GCAGUUUGAUCCUGGCUCAGGACGAACGCUGGGGGCGUGCCUAAUACAUGCAAGUGGAACGCACGAGGUACACCGUAGUUUACUACACCGUACUUUGUGAGUCGCGAACGGGUGAGUAACGCGUAGGUAACCUACCUUUUAGCGGGGGAUAACUAUUGGAAACGAUAGCUAAUACCGCAUAAGAUAUCUUACUGCAUGGUAAGAUAUUAAAAGAUGCAAUUGCAUCACUAAGAGAUGGACCUGCGUUGUAUUAGCUAGUAGGUGAGGUAACGGCUCACCUAGGCAACGAUACAUAGCCGACCUGAGAGGGUGAUCGGCCACACUGGGACUGAGACACGGCCCAGACUCCUACGGGAGGCAGCAGUAGGGAAUCUUCGGCAAUGGGGGGAACCCUGACCGAGCAACGCCGCGUGAGUGAAGAAGGUUUUCGGAUCGUAAAGCUCUGUUGUAAGAGAAGAACGAGUGUGAGAGUGGAAAGUUCACACUGUGACGGUAACUUACCAGAAAGGGACGGCUAACUACGUGCCAGCAGCCGCGGUAAUACGUAGGUCCCGAGCGUUGUCCGGAUUUAUUGGGCGUAAAGCGAGCGCAGGCGGUUAGAUAAGUCUGAAGUUAAAGGCUGUGGCUUAACCAUAAUACGCUUUGGAAACUGUUUAACUUGAGUGCCGAAGGGGAGAGUGGAAUUCCAUGUGUAGCGGUGAAAUGCGUAGAUAUAUGGAGGAACACCGGUGGCGAAAGCGGCUCUCUGGUCUGUAACUGACGCUGAGGCUCGAAAGCGUGGGGAG
Molecule: ribosomal RNA, 785 nt
Filed under: uncultured bacterium
Lineage: Bacteria
Description: bacterial SSU rRNA
Rfam family: Bacterial small subunit ribosomal RNA
Source: RNAcentral